CCAGACUCCUACGGGAGGCAGCAGUGGGGAAUAUUGCACAAUGGGGGAAACCCUGAUGCAGCGACGCCGCGUGAGUGAAGAAGUAUUUCGGUAUGUAAAGCUCUAUCAGCAGGGAAGAAAUACUGACCAUAGGGUCAGCAGACAGUACUUGACUAAGAAGCCCCGGCUAACUACGUGCCAGCAGCCGCGGUAAUACGUAGGGGGCAAGCGUUAUCCGGAUUUACUGGGUGUAAAGGGAGCGUAGACGGCAGCGCAAGUCUGAAGUGAAAGCCCCGGGCUCAACCUGGGAACUGCUUUGGAAACUGUUAAACUAGAGUGCUGGAGAGGCAGGCGGAAUUCCUAGUGUAGCGGUGAAAUGCGUAGAUAUUAGGAGGAACACCAGUGGCGAAGGCGGCCUGCUGGACAGUAACUGACGUUGAGGCUCGAAAGCGUGGGAAGCAAACAGGAUUAGAUACCCCCGUAA
Molecule: ribosomal RNA, 463 nt
Filed under: uncultured bacterium
Lineage: Bacteria
Description: bacterial SSU rRNA
Rfam family: Bacterial small subunit ribosomal RNA
Source: RNAcentral